RNAcentral lists this ribosomal RNA (433 nucleotides) under uncultured bacterium. RNAcentral's name for it is "partial 16S ribosomal RNA". It matches the Rfam family "Bacterial small subunit ribosomal RNA", at positions 29 to 507 of the family's 1533-position model. The record is from RNAcentral.
AACGAACGCUGGCGGCAUGCCUAACACAUGCAAGUCGAACGAGCCCUUCGGGUCUUGUGGCGCACGGGUGCGUAACGCGUGGGAACCUGCCCUUAGGUUCGGAAUAACUCCCCGAAAGGGGUGCUAAUACCGGACCAUGUCUUCGGACCAAAGAUUUAUCGCGUUUGGAUGUGCCCGCGUUGGAUUCGCUUGUUGGUAGGGUAAAAGCCUACCACGGCGACGAUCCAUAGCUGGUCUGAGAGGCUGAUCAGCCACACUGGGACUGGGACACGGCCCAGAAUCCUACGCGAGGCGGGAGAGGGGGACGUUGCAAAGCCGCCGAAAGCAUGAUGCACCAAUGCCGGGAGAGUGAUGAAGGCAGUGGAGUUGUAAAGCGCUAGUAACCGUGAUGAUAAUGACGGUACCGGGAGAAUAAGCUCCGGCUAACUCCGUG